Molecule: small nucleolar RNA, 103 nt
Filed under: Macleaya cordata
Lineage: Eukaryota; Viridiplantae; Streptophyta; Magnoliopsida; Ranunculales; Papaveraceae
Source: RNAcentral
UAUAGAUGCGAUGAUGAUAUUGUUAAUAAUCCCAGCUCAUUAUGAGACCUUCCUUUGUGGGAGGUCAGGGAAAAGAACCAUUAACCCUUAUCUGAGCACCAAA